UACAGAGGGUGCAAGCGUUAAUCGGAAUUACUGGGCGUAAAGCGCGCGUAGACGACUGUCUAAAUCGGGUGUGAAAGCCCCGAGCUCAACCUGGGAACUGCAUUCGAUACUGGACGGCUAGAGUAUGAGAGAGGGAGGUAGAAUUCCACGUGUAGCGGUGAAAUGCGUAGAUAUGUGGAGGAAUACCGGUGGCGAAGGCGGCCUCCUGGUUCAAUACUGACACUCAGGUGCGACAGCGUGGGGAGCAAACAGG
RNAcentral lists this ribosomal RNA (253 nucleotides) under uncultured bacterium. RNAcentral's name for it is "partial 16S ribosomal RNA". It matches the Rfam family "Bacterial small subunit ribosomal RNA", at positions 524 to 776 of the family's 1533-position model. The record is from RNAcentral.